This 126-nucleotide ribosomal RNA is filed under the name Pogona vitticeps (central bearded dragon). The record is from RNAcentral. Lineage: Eukaryota; Metazoa; Chordata; Lepidosauria; Squamata; Agamidae.
GCUGCAUAUGAUUUGAAAAGCUUAUGCUCUCACACUAAUCGUCAUCUGAGUUCAGAAGCUAAGCACAGCCAGGACUGGUUAAUACUUAAAUGGGAGGCUGCCAGGGAAUACUAGUGAUCUGCAGAA